AGUGAACGCUGGCGGCAGGCCUAAUACAUGCAAGUCAAACGGCAGCACAGUGGAGCUUGCUCCAUGGGUGGCGAGUGGCGGACGGGUGAGGAAUACAUGGGAAUCUGCCCAGUCGUGGGGGAUAACGUAGGGAAACUUACGCUAAUACCGCAUGCGCCCUUCGGGGGAAAGCCGGGGACCGUAAGGCCUGGCGCGAUUGGAUGAGCCCAUGUCGGAUUAGCUAGUUGGCGGGGUAACGGCCCACCAAGGCGACGAUCCGUAGCUGGUCUGAGAGGAUGAUCAGCCACACUGGAACUGAGACACGGUCCAGACUCCUACGGGAGGCAGCAGUAGGGAAUAUUGGACAAUGGGCGCAAGCCUGAUCCAGCCAUGCCGCGUGAGUGAAGAAGGCCCUCGGGUUGUAAAGCUCUUUUGUCCGGAAAGAAAGCACUGGGUUAAUACCCCGGUGUCCUGACGGUACCGGAGAAUAAGCACCGGCUAACUUCGUGCCAGCAGCC
This 497-nucleotide ribosomal RNA is filed under the name uncultured bacterium. RNAcentral's name for it is "bacterial SSU rRNA". It matches the Rfam family "Bacterial small subunit ribosomal RNA", at positions 29 to 516 of the family's 1533-position model. The record is from RNAcentral.